RNAcentral lists this ribosomal RNA (957 nucleotides) under Cryobacterium sp. B1938. RNAcentral's name for it is "bacterial SSU rRNA". It matches the Rfam family "Bacterial small subunit ribosomal RNA", at positions 53 to 1018 of the family's 1533-position model. Lineage: Bacteria; Bacillati; Actinomycetota; Actinomycetes; Micrococcales; Microbacteriaceae. The record is from RNAcentral.
ACCAUGCAAGUCGGACGGUGAUGAGGAGCUUGCUCUUUUGAUCAGUGGCGAACGGGUGAGUAACACGUGAGCAAUCUGCCCUUGACUCUGGGAUAAGCGUUGGAAACGACGUCUAAUACCGGAUACGACCUUGGAAGGCAUCUUCUGGGGUGGAAAGAAUUUUGGUCAAGGAUGAGCUCGCGGCCUAUCAGCUAGUUGGUGAGGUAAUGGCUCACCAAGGCGACGACGGGUAGCCGGCCUGAGAGGGUGACCGGCCACACUGGGACUGAGACACGGCCCAGACUCCUACGGGAGGCAGCAGUGGGGAAUAUUGCACAAUGGGCGAAAGCCUGAUGCAGCAACGCCGCGUGAGGGACGACGGCCUUCGGGUUGUAAACCUCUUUUAGUAGGGAAGAAGCGUUAAAGUGACGGUACCUGCAGAAAAAGCACCGGCUAACUACGUGCCAGCAGCCGCGGUAAUACGUAGGGUGCAAGCGUUGUCCGGAAUUAUUGGGCGUAAAGAGCUCGUAGGCGGUUUGUCGCGUCUGCUGUGAAAACCCGAGGCUCAACCUCGGGCCUGCAGUGGGUACGGGCAGACUAGAGUGCGGUAGGGGAGAUUGGAAUUCCUGGUGUAGCGGUGGAAUGCGCAGAUAUCAGGAGGAACACCAAUGGCGAAGGCAGAUCUCUGGGCCGUAACUGACGCUGAGGAGCGAAAGCAUGGGGAGCGAACAGGAUUAGAUACCCUGGUAGUCCAUGCCGUAAACGUUGGGAACUAGAUGUGGGGACCAUUCCACGGUCUCCGUGUCGCAGCUAACGCAUUAAGUUCCCCGCCUGGGGAGUACGGCCGCAAGGCUAAAACUCAAAGGAAUUGACGGGGGCCCGCACAAGCGGCGGAGCAUGCGGAUUAAUUCGAUGCAACGCGAAGAACCUUACCAAGGCUUGACAUAUAGAGGAAACGGUUGGAAACAGUCGCCCCGC